CUCUCUUUUUACACUGUUGGUGGGAUUUAUCAAAGUAUUUGGUUCUAAACGGGGAAUUAUUAUUUUUUUUUUAAUGUGCCUACUUAUUUCUUUGGUUUCCAUGGAAAUUGUCACACCUUGUUCUUCAGACAUACUAGAAAUGUAUCUGACAAUAAUCUGUAAAUUCCUGUCAGUCUCUACAUUUAGCUUUGAUUGACCACAUUCUUUACCAGGUGCAUUCAAUACCAGAGAAUUCUGUCACUGUUACUUGGCUUAAUUUAAAGAGUUAACCAGGGUGCAAUCCAAUCCCUGCACUGUGCCUGCCUCUGUAUUACACACUCUUUAUCACACACUCUAUAUUACACAAUAUAUCAUGUUUUUAUUUUAUUAUUAAUAGAAUAGAAAGAAAAAGAUCGUCAAAGUAACCUGAGACUUGAGGUCUCUAAUGCAGUGGAAAACCUUUGGUCUCGCAGGACCUUUGCAUAACAGCAUAAAUUAGUACAAGUAGUUGCGUAAGGGAGGCUGGUGAGUUUUGCAUGUCCUUCCAAUUUUGUGAUCAGGUAAGAUGGUUUCCAAACAUUAUUGCAUUCUAAAGGCAAUUUUAACUAAAGUAAGUAAGAAUGGGUUUGGGAACGUAAAUAGUUCCCUGUAGGUCUCUCCAGACCAGGCUUCAUCGUAGUUGCGCUUAGAAGUAGUCGUGUGAGGAAACGAUCUCUGUGUGGAAUUGGCUGGUCAUGAGGGGUAUGGACUGUCAUAAACUACGGCGUGGUAGCCGGAAAUGUGUCACUUGUGGUGCUAGGGUAUAUUUUCAUUUUCAAUUCGGGGGGGGGGGGAGACAUGUUAUUUACUAUUAAGAAGCCUUCUUGCUGAUUUUCAAGAGGAACUCUUUUUCAGCAUUUGUUUUUUCUUGGCAUAAGUAAAGGUUUUGCUGGUAAAGACCAUUGGAAUGUGCCUAAUUGCUGAAUCAAUUCUAGGUACAAACAUCAAAACCUAUUUGCUGUUUGCAGCCAUUUUAGCACAAUUUUAACCCCUUAAGGACCAAACUUCUGGAAUAAAAGGGAAUCAUCACAAAACAUCCUAGCAUGUAAUUUAAAACCAGGUGCAUGGGAGGAAGGUGCAGGUUGGCGUAGGAAUGAGAUAAACUGAAUAGGCAAUCUACCACUUCCUCUGCCAUAUUUGCAAUGAAUGGAGGAUAAUAAUACACUAAAAAGAGCCUGAGAGGGCACCCCAGUGAGGUGGGGUGGAGAGUAAUAUAACAGGGCAUGGGGUCGCCAAGCCCGCUAUUCCACUAAUAAUGGGACAAAUGGCUUCGUAGUCAAUAGGUCCUUAUACAUAUAGGGCCAGAAGCUUCCAAAUCCACUCUUUAUAAUAAUAAAAAAAUCCCCCUUAUGUCAAAUUGGACUAUGGAAUGCCUUGUUCCAGGUCAUUCUGAGUUAAACUUCUCCUUCCAACCCUUUCCAAGUAGUUAGGAUUCCACAAGCCCCUAGCCAUCUAUUCCUCAUACUAUUCCUCAAAGCUUGACUUGUUUUUCGUCAACCAAAAAUAAGUGAAAGAAAAAAUGAAUUGUGACAAGUAAAAUGAACUGUGUUGAGCACUAGUAAAUAAGCUAACUGCUUUUGAGACAAUUCUGUGUGGUAUAUAUUAUCUAAUUCAGAGGUUCUUAACCUUUUUCACAGGUUCCUAAAAAAAAAAUUCAUGGCAUCCACUUAGAAACCUAUUCUUCAAUUCAAAAUUUAUGACAUUAUCCAUACUAUUAAUUCUGCAAAACAUUUUUAUUACAUUAUUCACAGUGUCAUAAAUGUUUCUAUUGCAUUGGGUAGGAAGUGCUGAUACAGCAACCAAUUUAUUAAGGACACUUGAUAGGGACCAACUAAAAAAGAAAUGUGGCACAAAUUUGGACUUAACACGUGGCUUAAUAACCAUUGUAGUCUAAAAUGACCCAUGUCCUUAACAUUGUAGGUUUCAAUUUGACCUAUCUAGAUGAUAAACCAUAUAUAUGUAAUAUACCGCACAAUCCAUCUAUAAAUAAUUAGAAUAUAGGUGUAGGAUUUAGACAAUUCCACCCCACAAGAAAUUGCCAAAGGAUAAAAUCAUACAAAAUUGAUAAUAGAAUCCGCUCACAAAAUGGUAGUUUGCUUUAUUCAAAUAUAAAUUUGAGCCUUUUUUCUUUACUCUUUGUCUUAUGACUUAUAACUAUAAUGUUAAUGACAUAUUAUCAAUGUCAGUGAAUGAUACAUAAAAAAAAAAAAAAAACUGUCUAUGUUAGUCAGUGGUGUCAGUGUUAGUCAAUAUUGUCAAAUACAAGUAGCUGAGCCACAGCUCUAAAAAAAAAACUGUUUUACAAAAAAAGUAAAAAACAGUAAAACAGUAAAAGAUCACUUACAACAAAAUUUCUUCCUUAACAGGCACAUGUGAGUAUAUGAUUAUAUUUCGAACUGAUAUUGUUGCAAUACUGUACACAGAUGUCACACUACCUGUAUUUUCUGAGUUCCGAUGAACACCCACUCAUCCCUAGCUUCCUGGUGCAUCAUCAUGACAUCAUAUAUGACUUGGAACCCUCUCAUUAGUCUCCUUUUAUAGUAUCAGCCUAUCAGAAUCCAUUUUCAAAUGGAUGAAAGGAUAUUUUUCUUUUAAAUGUGUGUUUGAUCAUCUUCUAAUGCAAACAAAUCUACGUGGCUGAUAGCAUCCAAACACCUGUCCAGCAGAAGACUUGCUAAGUUGCAUUUAGUGGAUGAUGUGGAGAGACCUCUAUAUCUGUAGUUAGUUCCUAUGUCUGAUGAGCACCAAGGUAUCAGUUGAACCAAUCUUCUGUUUUCACUCCCAAUUCAUAGCUUCCUACUGCAGCAAAUUGUUCCAAUAUCUAUUAUUAUUAUUAUCAUCGUCACUAUAAGCAUACUCAAGAGAUGCAUUUUGUUGUUUCCUUUGCUCUGAUCCAUAAACUGGCCAAAAUCACACCAUGAGUAAUCGUGCUGUAUUGUUUCACGACCAUGUAUUGAAUCUUGUGUGUGUAGUGAAAUCUUGUUCAGACUUAUUCUGUGUGAACAGAUCACAUUAUGUUUUAUGCAUUGAUGCUGAGAAUAGAACCUUGAACACUAGAAACCAACUUUAAAUUGACCCCAAACUACGUCAAAUUCUCUAUAUGUGCAUAUGUAGCUAAUAUCAGUGGAGCUAAAUAUAGUCAAAUAAAAAAAUGCCAAAUUUCCUUAAAAUGCUAAAUUAUUAACUAUUUAUUCUUGCAAUUUACUAAUGCUGAAUGUUACUGUACCUAAAUGUAAUCAAUUUUAUGGCGUCACAGACUCAAUACUCUUGUGAUCAUAACAGAAAUAUCUUUGUAACUCUGUAUAACACCUUUUCGCAUGAUCUUUGUCUGUUUCCUGUUGUUCACAUGAAAUAAAU
Pelobates cultripes (western spadefoot toad) is the source of this 3375-nucleotide non-coding RNA. Lineage: Eukaryota; Metazoa; Chordata; Amphibia; Anura; Pelobatidae. The record is from the annotation of a GenBank genome assembly.